RNAcentral lists this long non-coding RNA (4327 nucleotides) under Vitis vinifera (wine grape). RNAcentral describes it as "long non-coding RNA (VVIN_LNC005298)". Lineage: Eukaryota; Viridiplantae; Streptophyta; Magnoliopsida; Vitales; Vitaceae. The record is from RNAcentral.
GGCUAGAGAAAAGAGCAGCAGAAGGGAAUCAUUUCAUGCCUCCAAACCUUCUUCAGUCUCAGUUGGACUCACUUCAGCUUGAUCCUUCAGAAGGCAUACUCAAGGUUGAUGCUACUCAAAGUCCUGACGAUACUGUCAAUGGCAUACAAGCUCUGAUCUUCUGAUCGUCAAUUCCUCAGACAAAAAUUAGGUAUUCAAGACCUUAUCUAGUUGAGAUGAAAAGGAGUUUUAUUUUAUUUUAUUUUUUAUUUUUAUUUAAUCUAAUUCAAGUUGAAGAUGGCUCCAUCAAACAUGACUGAUUGGUUUCAAAGUCUCACCAGAUUCAUUUCCAUGUUUUUUUCGUCACUAGGUGUAAUUGAACCCGAGCAUUUGCCUUAUGAAUAUACAGACAGGAAGUGAAAAGGAAUCCAUAGGAAUGACACAGACUCAAAUGACAACAAUGGCAGGAAUCUAAAAUUGGUGAAAAAUAGAUUUUAUUUUGUAACUGAACAUCACUUCUUGAAAGUGCAAUGCCAUAGAUCUUGAUAAUUUUUGUUGGAUAUGAAUAAAAAUGUUUCUACUCGUGCUUGCCUUGGUUGUAAGGUGCUAAAAAAAUUAUGGUUCGGGAUUUAAAUAAGUCAAGAUCAAGAUAACAACAGCUUAUCAAAAGAAUGAACAUACCUAAAGGAUUUAUGCAGGUUUAGUAAAAGCUGCAUAUGCACAUCCUAUGCAGGUUAUGGUAGCAAAGAGGAGAAAUGGAAAAAAAAAGAGGCAAAAUAUGGUUUAAUUUUUUAGUUUCUUAUCAUUGUGGUUUUUGAGGAUACUAAUCGAUUGUCUAGUAUAAAGCCUAUUAUCACCCCUUGUGCAUGAGUGCUUAAGAAAAGCCAAAGUCAGUGACACUAUGUUUUAUUAUGCAAGCUACAUUGAGGGUGUCUUUUGGUAUGAGCCUAUCCUCACAUCCCAUGCAUAGAGGCCUAAGUUUAGGAGACUAUUGUCACAAGAUGAUUCAAAUGAGCCUCCCCAUGGGCUUAUAUAGAGCCAGGAAGCUUCUGGAGACUCCUAGAGUGGGAAGAGAGUGUGGAAGGUUCUAGAGAUGCCUGGAGGAAUCCACACAACUCUACACUAUGGUGGAAGACAUGAGAGGAGUCCACAGCCUUCUAAAGAAUUCCAGAGGUCUCUUGUAUAUUUUUGUACAUAGGCUUGUACCUAAAAUGAUGUUGGACAUUCUAGAAUAUACUUGAAUUGGAAGGAACCCUCCAAGGUUCCAGAGAGUUCCAUUGGUGCCUAUAAAUAGGUGAGGGCCUCAUUUGGCCAAGGCACCAAGCAAGUGAGUCUUCAAAACACUUGUAAAGGCUUCCUUGAGUAAUAAGAGCUUCCAUUCUCUAAGAGUUGCCUACUAAGCUUCUUAAGCUUUCGAGUUGUGAGCAUCUUAGCCUAGCAAGCUAAGCAUUGGGAGCAAGGCUGACUUAGCAAGAUCAAGUGUCUUGACUUGCCUAAGUGUCGCACGAGCUUAGUGAACGACUAAGUCCGUGACACUAUGCUUUGAUUGUCAUGGCUUGUUCUUGGGUGCUUAGGAGAAACAAAUUACGCAACACUAUGCUCCGGUAUGCAAGCUACAUUGAGAGGGUCUUUAUCAAGUUUAAAACUUGUCUAGUAUGGGUCUAUUGUCAUGCCCUAUCCAUGGGUGCUUAGGAGAAGUCUUAAGUUUGGGACACUGAUUGUCAUGCCUUGUGCUUGGGUGCUUAGUGAGAAACCUAAGUAUGCGACACCAUACUUUGAUAUGCAAGCUACAUUGAGGGUGUCUUUCUCAAGUUUAAAACUCGGCUAGUACAAGUCUAUUGUCAUGCUUUAUGGGUGCUCGGGAGAGGCCUAAGUUUCAUUUUGUCCAGCAUGAAGUUACUGUCAUGCCUUGUGGAUGGGUGUUUAGGAGAGGCCUAAGCUUGAGACGCCAUAAUCUCAGUUAUGCUGGUUUUAGGAAAGUAUUAAGAAAAAAAAAAUUAAGAAAAUGAUUUUCUCGUAUUCGGUUUUAUUAAGGAAAAUAUUUAAAAAAAAAAACAAAUAUAAUUCAAAAUGAUUAGAAAUUUAUGUAUUUUCAAAUUAUUUAAUCAUUAUAUAAAAAUUAAAAUAAAUAAAAUGAGUUGACAUAAAAAAAAUUUAUUGAUAUUAAAUAUAUUUUUUAUUUUCCUUCGUUAUAUCUUUCCUUCUACUUUCUUCUUUGUUUUCUUUCUUUUGUAUUUUUCAGCAAAUUUUCUAGGAAUCAAACAUUACCUUAAGAAAUAGAGAAACAAUUGUAAAAAUAUUUUUCUCCUCAUUUUUUUUUUCUACUUUCAUAAAAGUGAGGAAUUUUUUUUUAAAUAGAAAAACAAACAAGAAACAACUUUUAUAAUUUUUUCAUAUUUCUUUAUUUCCUUAUAUUUUUCUUCUAUUUUCUUUUCUUGAACCUUUUGGGAACUAAAUAUAUAUUAAAAAAUGAAGUAUAAUAUAAAUAAAAUAUAUAAAAAACAUAAUACAUAAAAAAGAUAAUUAUAAAUAUUUUUCAAUAUUAGCACAAUUUCUUUGGAAAAUUACUAAUUUACUAUUAUGUACAUAUUUUUUAAAAUCUUUACUAAUUUAUUAUGUACAUAUAUGAAUAAGAAAAUAACUUAAUUUUAUUUAAUAAUUUAAUUGUAUUUAAUAAUUUAAUUGUAUUUAAUAAUUUAAUUGUACUUGACCUUAACUAAAAUUGCACUAGGGUAAAAUCAAAGAAUCAUUCACAUUAUCAUUUUUCCACUACAAGAAUAAAAUAUUUGUUAGAGUUGUUCAUUAUACAUUUUUUUUAUUGCAAAUUAAAUCAUAAUUAUGAAAUUUCAAAAAAUUAAUUAGUUUUAUUUCAAAAUUUAAUUAAUUUUAUUUAUUACCUAAUAUUAUAUAUAAAAAAACUCUAAUUCUAUGUUUGAUUCCUGGAAGUAGUAAGAAAAGAAGAAAAAAAUCAUAAAGAAAAUAGUUUUCUCGUGUUUGGUUUCAUUAAAAAAAUAUGAAAGAAAAUCAAAUAUAAUUAAAAUUAAUUAAAAUUUUAUGAAUUUGAAAAUUAUUUUAUUUUUAUAUAAUAGAGAAAAAUAAGUGAAAUGGGUUUGAAAAAACAUUUUAAAAUAAUUCAUUAACUUUGAAUCUACUUUUUAUUUUCCUUCUACUUUUUCUUUUCAUAGUCUAUUAAUUUUUACUAAUUUAUUAUGCACUUCCUAAACUAUUAUUUUUAUUUAAACAUUAUUACUGAACUAUUUCUUUAAUUAAAACAAAAUUUCUAAGCUAUCAAACGCUCAAUUUCACAUACACCCAAUAAAUAUAUAUAAAAAAAAUAUUUAUAGAUACCAAUAAAAAUGAAACUAAAUAAAAGUAGGAAAAUAAAAUAAGUACCCAAACAAAAGCUUACAAUAAGCUCAAUGCCUCACUUACACCUUCAGUGAGCCUCCUUUUCUUUCAUAAAAUUUGGUUCUCCACGUGUCAUAAAUUUACGCUCACCCAAUGCAAUACCAAUAACAGAAUAGGGUCAUGCAAAACAAAAGGGAGUCCAAAGUAAAUAUGCAUAGCCUAAAAUAAUUCAAGCCCAAAUGUAAUAAACCCAAAAACAUCCUUCAAAUUGAUCUAACAAAUUUCACUACUAAAAAAAAUGGACCCAAAAUUAGCGACAAAAAUAUCUCACAUCCCAUAAACCUUAAUCCAAGAUUCCGAAUUAAUCAGCAAAAUACAAGUACAAUUAACCAAGCCCAAAAUAUGACAAAACAAGAUAAAUUCAAUUAGACCUAAAUUUAAUAUCUCAUAAUUCAAGUCUAAUUUAAUAUACAAAUCGAAUCCUAAACCAAAAUCAAGCUCAAUUUAAUAAAUGUAUAACUAAACAAGUUAAGCAAGCCCAAAUUUCCCAAACCACUACCUAGAAAUCAAAUAAUAAUAAUAAUAAUAACAACAAAAGAAAAUAAAAUAAAAUAAAAUGAAAAUAAAAAUUUUACCUCACGCUUGAAGCCUAAAGUGGAGAAGAAGGUUGUGCAGCAAGAUGCACUGGGUUUGGGUGUCGCGGGUAAAUAGAGUGUGGGAAGAGGGUCUGAUGGUGAGGUCGUGUGAGUGUGUGUGUGGGGAGAAGAAAUAAAGGAAAGUAAGAGAGAAAAUGGGGAAGAAAGAGAGAAGGGAGAAGGAAGGGCUGUGUCUCUGUGAGUGGCCAUGUGUGGUGAGGGGGAGAGUGAAGAAAAAAUGGAAUGAAAAAAUGAGAGAAAAAAGGAGAAAAGAAAAUGGAAAGGGAAAGAAGAGGAGAGAGAGUGGGGGGAGUGUGGGCAGAGAUAAAAAGGAGGAAAGAAAAAAAAAAAAAUAAAGAAAAAAU